Molecule: ribosomal RNA, 307 nt
Filed under: uncultured Hymenobacter sp.
Lineage: Bacteria; Pseudomonadati; Bacteroidota; Cytophagia; Cytophagales; Hymenobacteraceae
Description: bacterial SSU rRNA
Rfam family: Bacterial small subunit ribosomal RNA
Source: RNAcentral
UCUGGGGGAUAGCCCGCCGAAAGGCGGAUUAAUACCGCAUAAAACAACAGCCUGGCAUCAGGCAAUUGUCAAAGAUUUAUUGGAUUCGGAUGGGGUUGCGUGCCAUUAGCUAGUUGGCGGGGUAACGGCCCACCAAGGCGACGAUGGCUAGGGGAGCUGAGAGGCUGGUCCCCCACACGGGCACUGAGAUACGGGCCCGACUCCUACGGGAGGCAGCAGUAGGGAAUAUUGGGCAAUGGGCGAGAGCCUGACCCAGCCAUGCCGCGUGCAGGAUGAAGGCUUUCUGAGUCGUAAACUGCUUUUGCCA